CCCAACUAUCCCUAUUAAUCAUUACGUCAAUCCUAGAAACCAACAAAAUAAGAUCGAACGUCCUAUUUCAUUAUUCCAUGCUAAUGUAUUCAAGCGUUAGCCUGCUUUAAACACUCUAAUUUUUUCAAAGUAACAGUCCAGUCUCCCCGCAACACCAAAUUAAUGGCAUUACGGUUCAUCAGGAAGGAGGAGCCAGUAAGACCAGUACAUACCAGUGGCACGACCAAUCUACUGACCCCGAAAUUCAACUA
Molecule: ribosomal RNA, 251 nt
Filed under: uncultured Glomus
Lineage: Eukaryota; Fungi; Glomeromycota; Glomeromycetes; Glomerales; Glomeraceae
Description: partial 18S ribosomal RNA
Source: RNAcentral